Molecule: long non-coding RNA, 387 nt
Organism: Xyrauchen texanus (razorback sucker)
Lineage: Eukaryota; Metazoa; Chordata; Actinopteri; Cypriniformes; Catostomidae
Exons: 3
Source: RefSeq, a predicted model, not a curated record
UCUCAAGAGUCUCCCGGUAGAUGUACCUAUUUUCUUUAUGUAAUGUAAUACAGUGGGUGAUUUGAUGUGGCUCGCCAAUUUAUCUGACCCUCCGACGGAUUUUGAUAAAUUUGCGUCACAGUCUAAACAUCUGAGCACUCUCUGUGCAAAACUCGGCGGUGUUUAACAACACUCAGCAGCAUGUGCAAGCUCUCUAAAACAUGAUCAAGCAACUUUUAGGAGCUAUAGGAGGACAAGCCAAGCAUGAGAGGUCAUGCAGAAAACAGAAUAUAAACCCUUCUGCUGAGGCAACAGCUCCCUUUAAACUAAACAAACAUCAAAUAACUGUCAGGGGAUGAAAAAGAAGAACCCAAAUACAGACAAUAAUAAACACAAAAGGGUUUUUAU